GUUGCUCCAGGGCCGGUGAAUCUAUAAAUUGGACCCUACAGUCAAUUAAGCCCGGGGGCUGUACCUUACGGUGGUGUGCAUGCCUGGCUAGGCCAGGAAGCCUAAAGCCGUAAAACGGCGCCCACGUUACGAUUCCGGGUUCCAAUUGACAUCACCGUGUUCUGGAGCACUU
This 172-nucleotide non-coding RNA is filed under the name Oligoflexia bacterium. RNAcentral describes it as "6S RNA". It matches the Rfam family "6S / SsrS RNA". Rfam says of the family: E. coli 6S RNA was the first non coding RNA to be sequenced, but its function was unknown until recently. It consists of 184 nucleotides that fold into an extended hairpin structure with a large single-stranded internal bulge. Lineage: Bacteria; Pseudomonadati; Bdellovibrionota; Oligoflexia. The record is from RNAcentral.